Molecule: transfer RNA, 72 nt
Filed under: Ignavibacteriaceae bacterium
Lineage: Bacteria; Pseudomonadati; Ignavibacteriota; Ignavibacteria; Ignavibacteriales; Ignavibacteriaceae
Description: tRNA-Trp
Rfam family: tRNA
About the family: Transfer RNA (tRNA) molecules are approximately 80 nucleotides in length. Their secondary structure includes four short double-helical elements and three loops (D, anti-codon, and T loops).
Source: RNAcentral
GCGUCAGACAGCUGGGGUAGCGGUAAGGUCUCCAAAACCUUUAUGAGUGGGUUCAACUCCUACCUGACGUGC